GUACACUCCUACGGGAGGCAGCAGUGGGGAAUUUUGGACAAUGGGCGAAAGCCUGAUCCAGCAAUGCCGCGUGAGUGAAGAAGGCCUUCGGGUUGUAAAGCUCUUUUGUCAGGGAAGAAACGGUGAGAGCUAAUAUCUCUUGCUAAUGACGGUACCUGGAGAAUAAGCACCGGCUAACUACGUGCCAGCAGCCGCGGUAAUACGUAGGGUGCAAGCGUUAAUCGGAAUUACUGGGCGUAAAGCGUGCGCAGGCGGUUUUGUAAGUCUGAUGUGAAAUCCCCGGGCUCAACCUGGGAAUUGCAUUGGAGACUGCAAGGCUAGAAUCUGGCAGAGGGGGGUAGAAUUCCACGUGUAGCAGUGAAAUGCGUAGAUAUGUGGAGGAACACCGAUGGCGAAGGCAGCCCCCUGGGUCAAGAUUGACGCUCAUGCACGAAAGCGUGGGGAGCAAACAGGAUUAGAAACCCGGGUAGUCCCAUG
This 477-nucleotide ribosomal RNA is filed under the name uncultured organism. Its description in RNAcentral is "partial 16S ribosomal RNA". It matches the Rfam family "Bacterial small subunit ribosomal RNA", at positions 331 to 799 of the family's 1533-position model. The record is from RNAcentral.